RNAcentral lists this ribosomal RNA (666 nucleotides) under uncultured prokaryote. RNAcentral's name for it is "bacterial SSU rRNA". It matches the Rfam family "Bacterial small subunit ribosomal RNA", at positions 524 to 1189 of the family's 1533-position model. The record is from RNAcentral.
UACGUAGGGUGCGGGCGUUAAUCGGAAUUACUGGGCGUAAAGCGUGCGCAGGCGGUUAGAUAAGUUUGAUGCGAAAUCCCCGGGCUCAACCUGGGAACUGCAUUGAAGACUGUCUGACUAGAGUACGGCAGAGGGGGGUGGAAUUCCACGUGUAGCAGUGAAAUGCGUAGUGAUGUGGAGGAACACCGAUGGCGAAGGCAGCCCCCUGGGUCGAUACUGACGCUCAUGCACGAAAGCGUGGGGUGCAAACAGGAUUGGAUACCCUGGUAGUCCACGCCCUAAACGAUGUCAACUAGUUGUUGGUAGGGUUAAACCUAUUAGUAACGUAGCUAACGCGUGAAGUUGACCGCCUGGGGAGUACGGUCGCAAGAUUAAAACUCAAAGGAAUUGACGGGGACCCGCACAAGCGGUGGAUGAUGUGGAUUAAUUCGAUGCAACGCGAAAAACCUUACCUACCCUUGACAUGUCAGGAAUCCCGUAGAGAUAUGGGAGUGCCGCAAGGAACCUGAACACAGGUGCUGCAUGGCUGUCGUCAGCUCGUGUCGUGAGAUGUUGGGGUAAAGUCCCCGCACGAGCGCAACCCUUGUCAUUAGUUGCCAUCAUUUAGUUGGGCACUUUAAUGAGACUGCCGGUGACAAACCGGAGGAAGGUGGGGAUGACGUCAAG